RNAcentral lists this transfer RNA (75 nucleotides) under Thermoflexales bacterium. RNAcentral describes it as "tRNA-Arg". It matches the Rfam family "tRNA". Rfam says of the family: Transfer RNA (tRNA) molecules are approximately 80 nucleotides in length. Lineage: Bacteria; Bacillati; Chloroflexota; Thermoflexia; Thermoflexales. The record is from RNAcentral.
GCCCCUGUAGCUCAACUGGAUAGAGCAGUUCCGUCCUAAGGAAAGGGUUGUGGGUUCAAGUCCUGCCAGGGGCGC